RNAcentral lists this non-coding RNA (136 nucleotides) under Aulacoseira subarctica. Lineage: Eukaryota; Bacillariophyta; Melosirophyceae; Melosirales; Aulacoseiraceae. The record is from RNAcentral.
AGCAUAGCUGAUAUUACAAGAUGUGAUUUAGGAACCCUUUCUACUAGUACAGUUUUAACUUAUGUCAUUCAUUACUCAAAUGUUUCGCAGUAUUCUUAUUUAUUGAAUCGCGGGACUCCGUUGACUCGCUGCUGCC